RNAcentral lists this ribosomal RNA (253 nucleotides) under uncultured bacterium. RNAcentral's name for it is "partial 16S ribosomal RNA". It matches the Rfam family "Bacterial small subunit ribosomal RNA", at positions 524 to 776 of the family's 1533-position model. The record is from RNAcentral.
UACAGAGGGUGCGAGCGUUAAUCGGAAUGACUGGGCGUAAAGCGCGCGUAGGCGGUUAUACAAGUUGGGUGUGAAAUCCCUGGGCUUAACCUAGGAAUUGCAUUCAAAACUAUAUAGCUUGAGUGGGGUAGAGGUGAGUGGAAUUUCCGGAGUAGCGGUGAAAUGCGUAGAUACCGGAAGGAACACCAGUGGCGAAGGCGACUCACUGGACCUUAACUGACGCUGAGGUGCGAAAGCGUGGGGAGCAAACAGG